RNAcentral lists this non-coding RNA (206 nucleotides) under Blastomonas sp. Lineage: Bacteria; Pseudomonadati; Pseudomonadota; Alphaproteobacteria; Sphingomonadales; Blastomonadaceae. The record is from RNAcentral.
UAAUGCGGCGACGCGACAGGUUCCCAGAGAUGGGAUUAAUAGGGAACGCGGAAGCAGGUAUCCACCCCUGUAAUCCGCGGCUGUCCCCGCAACUGUGACCGGAGAGCGGUCGCCCUAUCAUGCCACUGGAUGCAACCGCAUCCGGGAAGGCGGGGCGGACGUGUUGACCCGGGAGCCAGGAGACCUGCCUGACGCAGUCGGUCCUU